AGAUGUGAGGGCGAUCUGGCUAUCACAUCUGUCACUCAUUGGUUGCCAGGGUUGAUUCAGUUGAUCUGGCUGGCUAGAUAGGUGUUCCCUUCCUCCCUCUCCACUCCAUGUGCAUCCCUCCAGAAGCUGUGCAUUCAGUCAAAGAGGAUGACCUUCAUUCAUAAGAGUAGCUACACUCCCCUGCUAGAACUUCCAAACAAGCUCUCGGGAAUACUACUGCUUACCAAAAUUCACCAAUUGCUGAAACUUUUUACACUUGCUUUAUAUCUGU
This is a non-coding RNA of Ictidomys tridecemlineatus (thirteen-lined ground squirrel), 271 nucleotides long. The record is from Rfam. Lineage: Eukaryota; Metazoa; Chordata; Mammalia; Rodentia; Sciuridae.